CAGUCGCCGCGGUAAUACAGAGGGUACAAGCGUUAAUCGGAAUUACUGGGCGUAAAGCGCGCGUAGGUGGUUUGUUAAGUUGGAUGUGAAAUCCCCGGGCUCAACCUGGGAACUGCAUCCAAAACUGGCAAGCUAGAGUAUGGUAGAGGGUGGUGGAAUUUCCUGUGUAGCGGUGAAAUGCGUAGAUAUAGGAAGGAACACCAGUGGCGAAGGCGACCACCUGGACUGAUACUGACACUGAGGUGCGAAAGCGUGGGGAGCAAACAGGAUUAGAUACCCCGGUAGUCCCUGUCUCUUAUAC
This 301-nucleotide ribosomal RNA is filed under the name uncultured bacterium. RNAcentral's name for it is "partial 16S ribosomal RNA". It matches the Rfam family "Bacterial small subunit ribosomal RNA", at positions 509 to 807 of the family's 1533-position model. The record is from RNAcentral.